This 637-nucleotide long non-coding RNA is filed under the name Parus major (Great Tit). RNAcentral's name for it is "lncRNA (ENSPMJG00000006020.1)". The record is from RNAcentral. Lineage: Eukaryota; Metazoa; Chordata; Aves; Passeriformes; Paridae.
CUGCUGCCCACCCUUGGCACCCAGGGGCUGGGAUGCUCAGGGAGCCAAACCUGCUCAGCAGAUCUCUGAAGUGGGAUCACACUGCUGUGGUUAUGCCAGUGCAUUACCACUGCCAUGGAGCAAGAGAGACCUUCAUCUCCCAACUCCUUGAUAGGGAUUUCUCCAAAGACAGCUUUCAGGGAAGAUCAGUGUUUUCAUUGUCUGUUGGAGCUGGAGCUGUGUGUUGAGGAUAACGCUGACACUCAGGAUGCCACCAGAUGCCACUUCUGCUCACAUCCAACAGCUGUGUGAAGGCAGCCUGCUGUUCCUGAUGGGCUGCACAGCGUUUGUGCUUUGGCUGGAGCCAGGGAAGGAGGGAACCCCAGGAAGAAAGGCACAGUCCUGCACUAAAGUCCUCCUGGAUAUUAACAGAGACACACAAAAGAAGCUGCAGCAUUAAUAUGAGUAGCAUGAUAAAACAGACUUGAGCUUGUGACAUGUUCAAUCUCUCAUUUAAUUUUUAUAGGAGUUGAUUAAGAUGCCUUUGCUUGAAUUUUUAUACUGUUUACUAUAAAACAUUAUCAUUUUCUUCAAAAUCUAUCGAGACAGACAAACCACACAUUUGCCAAGCUGUUAAAUAAAUAGUAUUAAAUCAACA